Molecule: ribosomal RNA, 497 nt
Filed under: uncultured bacterium
Lineage: Bacteria
Description: partial 16S ribosomal RNA
Rfam family: Bacterial small subunit ribosomal RNA
Source: RNAcentral
GAUGAACGCUGGCGGCGUGCCUAAUACAUGCAAGUCGAGCGAACAGACGAGGAGCUUGCUCCUCUGACGUUAGCGGCGGACGGGUGAGUAACACGUGGAUAACCUACCUAUAAGACUGGGAUAACUUCGGGAAACCGGAGCUAAUACCGGAUAAUAUAUUGAACCGCAUGGUUCAAUAGUGAAAGACGGUUUUGCUGUCACUUAUAGAUGGAUCCGCGCCGCAUUAGCUAGUUGGUAAGGUAACGGCUUACCAAGGCAACGAUGCGUAGCCGACCUGAGAGGGUGAUCGGCCACACUGGAACUGAGACACGGUCCAGACUCCUACGGGAGGCAGCAGUAGGGAAUCUUCCGCAAUGGGCGAAAGCCUGACGGAGCAACGCCGCGUGAGUGAUGAGGGUCUUCGGAUCGUAAAACUCUGUUAUUAGGGAAGAACAAAUGUGUAAGUAACUAUGCAUGUCUUGACGGUACCUAAUCAGAAAGCCACGGCUAACUACGUG